This 272-nucleotide ribosomal RNA is filed under the name uncultured bacterium. RNAcentral describes it as "partial 16S ribosomal RNA". It matches the Rfam family "Bacterial small subunit ribosomal RNA", at positions 333 to 602 of the family's 1533-position model. The record is from RNAcentral.
AUGUACCUACGGGGGGCAGCAGUGAGGAAUAUUGGUCAAUGGCCGCAGGGCUGAACCAGCCACGUCGCGUGAGGGAUGACGGUCCUAUGGAUUGUAAACCUCUUUUGUCAGGGAGCAAAGGGCGCCACGUGUGGCGUUUUGCGAGUACCUGAAGAAAAAGCAUCGGCUAACUCCGUGCCAGCAGCCGCGGUAAUACGGAGGAUGCGAGCGUUAUCCGGCUUUAUUGGGUUUAAAGGGGGCGCAGGCGGAAUGUCAAGUAAGCGGUAAAAUUU